Molecule: ribosomal RNA, 433 nt
Filed under: uncultured bacterium
Lineage: Bacteria
Description: partial 16S ribosomal RNA
Rfam family: Bacterial small subunit ribosomal RNA
Source: RNAcentral
AGCGAACGCUGGCGGCAGGCCUAACACAUGCAAGUCGAACGAACUCUUCGGAGUUAGUGGCGGUCGGGGGAGGCACACGGGGGAACGGUCCGUUAUGCACCGAAUAACACAUUGAAACUUGUGCUAAUACCGAAUGAGUCCUUCGGGGGAAAGAUUUAUCGCCUUUAGAGCGGCCCGCGUCCGAUUAGCUAGUUGGGGAGGUAAAGGCUCACCAAGGCGACGAUCAGUAGCUGGUCUGAGAGGAUGAUCAGCCACAUUGGGACUGAGACACGGCCCAAACUCCUACGGGAGGCAGCAGUGGGGAAUCUUGCGCAAUGGGCGAAAGCCUGACGCAGCCAUGCCGGGUGAAUGAUGAAGGUCUUAGGAUAGUAAAAUUCUUUCACCGGGGACGAUAAUGACGGUACCCGGAGAAGAAGCCCCGGCUAACUUCGUG